AGUUUGUGUGUGAGUUUGUUUAACUGGGGGGAAAAGGCAUGAGAGACUGGUACACAAAUAAAUCCUAUUUUGCAAACCAGAGCUCAUUGGUCAGUAUGAGUUUUCAUACAUGCAGGAAGCAAUAUG
Small nucleolar RNA from Nannospalax galili (Upper Galilee mountains blind mole rat), 126 nucleotides. The record is from Ensembl. Lineage: Eukaryota; Metazoa; Chordata; Mammalia; Rodentia; Spalacidae.